Molecule: small RNA, 579 nt
Filed under: Pan troglodytes (chimpanzee)
Lineage: Eukaryota; Metazoa; Chordata; Mammalia; Primates; Hominidae
Description: retained intron
Source: RNAcentral
GUCCCGCGCCCCCUCCCCCAGGCCACCCGUACAUCAUGACCGUGGGCUGCGUGGCGGGCGACGAGGAGUCCUACGAAGUGUUCAAGGAUCUCUUCGACCCCAUCAUCGAGGACCGGCACGGCGGCUACAAGCCCAGCGAUGAGCACAAGACCGACCUCAACCCCGACAACCUGCAGGUGCGGGGCGGCGGGCGGGCCGGGCGGGCGGUGCCGGGGUCUUCGGGCGCUCACUCCCGUCUCGCCCCCCAGGGCGGCGACGACCUGGACCCCAACUACGUGCUGAGCUCGCGGGUGCGCACGGGCCGCAGCAUCCGUGGCUUCUGCCUCCCCCCGCACUGCAGCCGCGGGGAGCGCCGCGCCAUCGAGAAGCUCGCGGUGGAAGCCCUGUCCAGCCUGGACGGCGACCUGGCGGGCCGGUACUACGCGCUCAAGAGUAUGACGGAGGCGGAGCAGCAGCAGCUCAUCGACGACCACUUCCUCUUCGACAAGCCCGUGUCGCCCCUGCUGCUGGCCUCGGGCAUGGCCCGCGACUGGCCCGACGCCCGCGGUAUCUGGUGCGUGUCCCUCUGCGCCCUCUCGC